AAUACCUAGGAAUCUGCCUGGUAGUGGGGGAUAACGUUCGGAAACGGACGCUAAUACCGCAUACGUCCUACGGGAGAAAGCAGGGGACCUUCGGGCCUUGCGCUAUCAGAUGAGCCUAGGUCGGAUUAGCUAGUUGGUGAGGUAAUGGCUCACCAAGGCGACGAUCCGUAACUGGUCUGAGAGGAUGAUCAGUCACACUGGAACUGAGACACGGUCCAGACUCCUACGGGAGGCAGCAGUGGGGAAUAUUGGACAAUGGGCGAAAGCCUGAUCCAGCCAUGCCGCGUGUGUGAAGAAGGUCUUCGGAUUGUAAAGCACUUUAAGUUGGGAGGAAGGGUUGUAGAUUAAUACUCUGCAAUUUUGACGUUACCGACAGAAUAAGCACCGGCUAACUCUGUGCCAGCAGCCGCGGUAAUACAGAGGGUGCAAGCGUUAAUCGGAAUUACUGGGCGUAAAGCGCGCGUAGGUGGUUUGUUAAGUUGGAUGUGAAAUCCCCGGGCUCAACCUGGGAACUGCAUUCAAAACUGACUGACUAGAGUAUGGUAGAGGGUGGUGGAGUUUCCUGUGUAGCGGUGAAAUGCGUAGAUAUAGGAAGG
This 596-nucleotide ribosomal RNA is filed under the name uncultured bacterium. RNAcentral describes it as "bacterial SSU rRNA". It matches the Rfam family "Bacterial small subunit ribosomal RNA", at positions 112 to 704 of the family's 1533-position model. The record is from RNAcentral.